GAUGAACGCUGGCGGCGUGCUUAAUACAUGCAAGUCGAGCGAACAGAUGAGGAGCUUGCUCCUCUGACGUUAGCGGCGGACGGGUGAGUAACACGUGGAUAACCUACCUAUAAGACUGGGAUAACUUCGGGAAACCGGAGCUAAUACCGGAUAAUAUAUUGAACCGCAUGGUUCAAUAGUGAAAGACGGUUUUGCGGUCACUUAUAGAUGGAUCUGCGCCGCAUUAGCUAGUUGGUAAGUUAAAGGCUUACCAAGGCAACGAUGCGUAGACGACCUCAGAGAGGGAUAGCCCGCACUGGAACUGAGCCACGCUCCAGACGCCUACGGGAGGCAGCAGUAGGGAAUCUGACGCAGUGGGCGAAAGCCUUACGGAGCAACGCCAAGUGAGAUAUGAAGAUCUUCGGUUCGUAAAGCUCUGUUAUUAGGUAAAAACAAAUGUGUACGUAACUAUGCACGUAUUGACGGUACCUAAUCAGAAAGCCACGGCUAACUACGUG
RNAcentral lists this ribosomal RNA (497 nucleotides) under uncultured bacterium. RNAcentral describes it as "partial 16S ribosomal RNA". It matches the Rfam family "Bacterial small subunit ribosomal RNA", at positions 28 to 507 of the family's 1533-position model. The record is from RNAcentral.